This 483-nucleotide ribosomal RNA is filed under the name uncultured bacterium. RNAcentral's name for it is "bacterial SSU rRNA". It matches the Rfam family "Bacterial small subunit ribosomal RNA", at positions 28 to 511 of the family's 1533-position model. The record is from RNAcentral.
GAUGAACGCUGGCGGCGUGCUUAACACAUGCAAGUCGAACGAGAAUCAAUGAAUCAAGACUUCGGUCAAGUGAAGUUGAGGACAGUGGCGGACGGGUGAGUAACGCGUGAGGAACCUGCCUCGGAGUGGGGAAUAACAGUUGGAAACAGCUGCUAAUACCGCAUAAUGCAUACGGAUCGCAUGGUCUGUAUGCCAAAGAUUUAUCGCUCUGAGAUGGCCUCGCGUCUGAUUAGCUAGUUGGCGGGGUAACGGCCCACCAAGGCGACGAUCAGUAGCCGGACUGAGAGGUUGGCCGGCCACAUUGGGACUGAGACACGGCCCAGACUCCUACGGGAGGCAGCAGUGGGGAAUAUUGGGCAAUGGGCGCAAGCCUGACCCAGCAAUGCCGCGUGAAGGAAGAAGGCUUUCGGGUUGUAAACUUCUGUCUUAUGGGAAGAACACAGACGGUACCAUAGGAGGAAGCCACGGCUAACUACGUGCCAG